AUGAACGCUAGCGACAGGCCUAACACAUGCAAGUCAGGGCAGCACAAGGAGCAAUCUGAGGUGGCGACCGGCGCACGGGUGAGUAACACGUAUGCAACCUGCCUGUAAGCGGGGAAUAACCCGUUGAAAGACGGACUAAUACCGCAUAAUACUAAAUUACUGCAUGGUAAUUUAUUUAAACAUUUAUGGCUUACAGAUGGGCAUGCGCAUGAUUAGCUAGUUGGAGAGGUAACGGCUCCCCAAGGCAACGAUCAUCAGGGGUUCUGAGAGGAAGGUCCCCACACUGGUACUGAGACACGGACCAGACUCCUACGGGAGGCAGCAGUGAGGAAUAUUGGUCAAUGGACGAGAGUCUGAACCAGCCAAGUCGCGUGCAGGAAGAAUGUCCUAAUGGAUUGUAAACUGCUUUUGCAGGGGAAUAAAGUGCAUCACGUGUGAUGUUUUGUAUGUACUCUGCGAAUAAGGAUCGGCUAACUCCGUGCCAGCAGCCGC
This 492-nucleotide ribosomal RNA is filed under the name uncultured bacterium. Its description in RNAcentral is "bacterial SSU rRNA". It matches the Rfam family "Bacterial small subunit ribosomal RNA", at positions 29 to 518 of the family's 1533-position model. The record is from RNAcentral.